AUUGAACGCUGGCGGCAGGCCUAACACAUGCAAGUCGAACGAGUGGCGGACGGGUGAGUAAUGUCUGGGAAACUGCCUGAUGGAGGGGGAUAACUAAUGGAAACGGUAGCCACUACCGCAUACCAUCGGAUGUGCCGAGAUCGGAUUAGCUAGUAGGUGGGGUAAAGGCUCACCUGGGCGACGAUCCCUAGCUGGUCUGAGAGGAGGACCAGCCACACUGGAACUGAGACACGGUCAAGCCUCCUACGGUAGGCAGCAGUGGGGAAUAUUGGACAAUGGGCGCAAGCCUGAUCCAGCCAUGCCGCGUGUAUGAAGAAGGCCUUCGGGUUGUAAAGUACUUUCAGUGGGGAGGCGUUACCCGCAGAAGAAGCACCGGCUAACUCCGUGCCAGCAGCCGCGGUAAUUC
RNAcentral lists this ribosomal RNA (406 nucleotides) under uncultured bacterium. RNAcentral's name for it is "partial 16S ribosomal RNA". It matches the Rfam family "Bacterial small subunit ribosomal RNA", at positions 30 to 526 of the family's 1533-position model. The record is from RNAcentral.